UGGCCUUGACAUGUAGUGGCCCGGGUGCGAAAUCACCCUUUUCUUCGGAACUGCUACACAGGUGCUGCAUGGCUGUCGUCAGCUCGUGUCGUGAGAUGUUGGGUUAAGUCCCGCAACGAGCGCAACCCCCGUGUUCUGUUGCCACCCGGAUGUAAAUCCGGAGCACUCUGGACAGACUGCCUGGUUUCAACUAGGAGGAAGGUGGGGAUGACGUCAAGUCAGUAUGGCCCUUACGGCCAGGGCUGCACACGUACUACAAUGCCUGAUAUAAUGGGAAGCAAGACCGCGAGGUGGAGCAAAUCCUCAAAAUCAGGCCCAGUUCAGAUUGUAGGCUGCAACUCGCCUACAUGAAGGAGGAAUCGCUAGUAAUGCCGUAUCAGCUACGACGGCGUGAAUACGUUCCCAGGCCU
This 410-nucleotide ribosomal RNA is filed under the name uncultured bacterium. RNAcentral describes it as "bacterial SSU rRNA". It matches the Rfam family "Bacterial small subunit ribosomal RNA", at positions 976 to 1381 of the family's 1533-position model. The record is from RNAcentral.